UCAAGAAAACAGAACACACAUCGACAGAUGAAGAAGGAUCGUCUGGAUUUGCCGCAACGUCCGACAUCAGUUAAUUCAGAGAGAAAUUCAUUAUUUCUGCUGAAUAUUAAGGAAAAGGAUCGCUGUUGCAGUUCCGAUGGCAAGGCUCUGUCUGGUCGUAUUAUGUUCUCUGGUUCUGGUUGUAGCUGGCCAAUUGGAGCAUCCGUGUGAUGGAAGCUGCCACGAGAUACAAGAUGCCGAGGCGUGUGAUCCAGCUGAUUUUGAUGGCCACUCUGACUGCGACUGUUACACAUGUUCAUGUAGGCUGGUCAAGGGUGGUCUUACGUCGUUCGUGGCUUGCUGCAUAGAGGCAGAGAAUACAGCCCCAAUUAGUAUUGCUGCUGAAUGCAUAAACAUUGUGAAAAGGGACUCAACAGGAGUUUGUAAUUGGAAGACUGUUACAAAACAAGACCCAGCAGUUGAGUGCCCUCCCCCUGCACAGGACGACGGUGGAUUUUGAUGAGAAUGGAGAAGUGCGAAUGAAAAUCUGUUUAAGAAAAAGGAAAUAAUUAUAGUCAAAGGGGUGAUUAGCUUUACGUUAGUUUAAAAUAAUAUGACACAACACAUUAUAACUGACUGAACACUUUCAGAACAUUUUAUUUUAUUUAUUUAUUUUCAUUUAUUUUAUUAUUCUUCCCGUUGGAUUAUUAUUAACUGAUCUUUUGAUUCACACCAGAAAUAAACAAAUAACAAUAUAAAUAAUAAAAACAAUAACAGAUUAUUAACAAUUUGGUGACGAGCCGGAUGAUGAUUUGGUUUGGUUAUUCAUUCUGGUGUCAAGACUGAAAUAUUGCUUCUUGUUGGAUCUUACACCUUUUGAAAGUAACUAUAAAAAUUUGGUAUCGUGUAUGAGUCGUAGAAAAAUAUCUUUAGCACCAUCUUUGUCUGAUUCCCUGUAACUACCUUGGUAUUGAGAGUUUUGACACUUAAUUUAACAAAAGAGCCAGCCUAUAACAUUCCCGUACUACCUUAUUUGUGUUGCGUUGCUUUGAAGGGAAGAAAAGCAAGAUAUGGCCGCGCCAUGAUAAACUCCAAUUGGAGAAUUUAAAACGCUAGGUGACAGCAGACUUGCUAGUUAAAGUUCCAUUGCUUACGUAGUUCUGAACAUGCGCACAUAAUCAAGAUCAAUAAGUUUUAAAUUUGGUGACCAAUUUUGGGACCAGGCGUACCAAAAGACAUCUCCUAUUGACUUGCUUUUGGUUAUUGAAUAAUUUCUGAAGCAUCUCGACAAAAGUUUAUUAAAAAUAGUUUUAGGUGAACAACUCAAAAUUUGAGUAAUCGCUCCAUAAAAAUAAAAUAAAACUAAGAUGCUAAAAGAGCAGAUUUGAAGAAAAAUGUUCCUACUUUCGUCACCGUGUAUUAUAUAAUUAUGACGGGUUUGAUUGUGGCAUCCUGAUACGUGAAAUUUCUUCAAACGACGACUUCUUUCGGAAACUUUAGAACUUUAAACACUUAUAAAUCAACUAACGUAACAGUAUGUAACAUUAUCUUAAAAGGGCAUUGAAAAAUAUAUUAAGAAAUUGAUAUUGUUAAAGUUGGUUGAUAACUGUACAUCCGUAUGGAUCUCUAUGAGGUUAGAUAUGAAUAAAUCGACACACGUAAUGACGCUAA
Molecule: long non-coding RNA, 1650 nt
Organism: Asterias rubens (European starfish)
Lineage: Eukaryota; Metazoa; Echinodermata; Asteroidea; Forcipulatida; Asteriidae
Exons: 4
Source: RefSeq, a predicted model, not a curated record